AACGAACGUUAGCGGCGCGCCUAACACAUGCAAGUCGCACGAGAAAGGGCUUCGGCCCCGGUACAGUGGCGCACGGGUGAGUAACACGUAGAUCAUCUCCCCUCGAGUGGUGGAUAACUCUCCGAAAGGAGAGCUAAUACAGCAUGAGACCACGGCACUGAUGGUGUUGUGGCCAAAGCAGGCCUCUACACGUAAGCUUGCGCUUGAGGAUGAGUAUGCGGCCCAUCAGCUAGUUGGUAGGGUAAUGGCCUACCAAGGCGAAGACGGGUAGCCGGUCUGAGAGGAUGAACAGCCACACUGGAACUGAGACACGGUCCAGACUCCUACGGGAGGCAGCAGUGGGGAAUCUUGCGCAAUGGGCGAAAGCCUGACGCAGCGACGCCGCGUGAGCGAUGAAGGCCUUCGGGUUGUAAAGCUCUGUGGGGAGGAAAGAAUAAGGCAUGGCUAACAUCCAUGUCGAUGACGGUACCUCCUUAGCAAGCACCGGCUAACUCUGUGCCAGCCGCCGCGGUAA
RNAcentral lists this ribosomal RNA (514 nucleotides) under uncultured bacterium. RNAcentral's name for it is "partial 16S ribosomal RNA". It matches the Rfam family "Bacterial small subunit ribosomal RNA", at positions 29 to 523 of the family's 1533-position model. The record is from RNAcentral.